Molecule: long non-coding RNA, 898 nt
Organism: Lycium barbarum (goji berry)
Lineage: Eukaryota; Viridiplantae; Streptophyta; Magnoliopsida; Solanales; Solanaceae
Exons: 2
Source: RefSeq, a predicted model, not a curated record
CACACAAAUCAGCCGCAUGAGCCUUCUCCCUCCUUGGAUCAGACUAAUUAGCAACAUCUCCUUCUUCGUAUGAAGAAUAGCAUCUGUUGCACCUAAUGCACAAACGUCAAAUACAUAUGAUAACAUAUUUACUGUUAGGCAUAAAACAAUUAGAGAAUAUCACUUUUGGUUCUUCACUGUCGCAAAGUCGAGGUUCUUGGUCCAAAGCUGUCGGGGAAUUUUAAUUCCCUUUAGUCGAACAUCUCUGUUCCUGCUAUUCAAUAUUGGCUUGGAAGCUCGAUACAUUUUCGGAUAAAUAAAGACAAUCCUACUCGAGGCACCAGUUACGAUGAUAGAGAGACCAGGUCUCUUGAAGUGUCGUACAAUCAACUCUACAACUGUAAAGCUAUUGUCAUUGUAGCAGUACAACAGAGCAGCAUACAACAACAGAGUUGCUUUAUGGGCUGUCACCUUCACUCUUCCUCUGCAUAUUCAAACAUCAUGCUAAAGUGAAGAUUUGAUUCUUGCAAAAUCCAGAAAUUGUUCAGAUAUAAAAGUGCAAGUCUCCACCCAUGAAGGUGUGUUCAAGAACAAAGCUUCAACAAAUCCAAGGACUUGUUCUUCUACAACUGAAGUUGUGUUAAGUGUUACGCCCUAUUUUGAACGGGUCCAAUAUAGUUUGCAAGUUCCCGGUUCUUCUAACUGGUUUAAAAGGGUUAGAGUCGCCACCUUAUUUUUUAGGAAAAUCAGGAAACCUAUAUGUAUUUGUGUGUCUACUCCAUUUUUAGUCCAUGAAACCUAUAAGAUUCUAGAUAAGGGUUUUAUUUACCCCGAGGGAAAGGUAUUAAGCAUCCCUCGGAGCCUGUCCGAAGACAGUCCUUAGACUUAGUUUAAUUGAACACUAGAGGGGGAUUAUCUA